This 432-nucleotide ribosomal RNA is filed under the name uncultured bacterium. Its description in RNAcentral is "partial 16S ribosomal RNA". It matches the Rfam family "Bacterial small subunit ribosomal RNA", at positions 29 to 506 of the family's 1533-position model. The record is from RNAcentral.
AACGAACGCUGGCGGCAUGCCUAACACAUGCAAGUCGAACGAGACCUUCGGGUCUAGUGGCGCACGGGUGCGUAACGCGUGGGAACCUGCCCUUAGGUUCGGAAUAACUCCCCGAAAGGGGUGCUAAUACCGGAUAAUGUCUUCGGACCAAAGAUUUAUCGCCUUUGGAUGGGCCCGCGUUGGAUUAGCUAGUUGGUAGGGUAAAAGCCUACCAAGGCGACGAUCCAUAGCUGGUCUGAGAGGAUGAUCAGCCACACUGGGACUGAGACACGGCCCAGACUCCUACGGGAGGCAGCAGUGGGGAAUAUUGGACAAUGGGCGAAAGCCUGAUCCAGCAAUACCGCGUGAGUGAUGAAGGCCUUAGGGUUGUAAAGCUCUUUUACCCGGGAUGAUAAUGACAGUACCGGGAGAAUAAGCUCCGGCUAACUCCGU